Molecule: small nucleolar RNA, 145 nt
Filed under: Sus scrofa (pig)
Lineage: Eukaryota; Metazoa; Chordata; Mammalia; Artiodactyla; Suidae
Description: Small nucleolar RNA SNORA71 (ENSSSCG00015046158.1)
Rfam family: Small nucleolar RNA SNORA71
About the family: The members of this family belong to the H/ACA class of snoRNAs which bind a number of proteins (including dyskerin, Gar1p and Nop10p) to form snoRNP complexes.
Source: RNAcentral
CCCAGCCUUUGAAAGUGGUCAUGGGCUGCCAGUGCCCCAGUCGUUGAUAGCACAGGGAGAGGACCACAGGGAGAGGACCGGCUGAAAGCACUUCCCCGUUUGGAGGUCCUGUUCCGUCCCUUAGAAACUCUGGAGCUUUCCCACA